AGACUUCAAAUAAGGAUUUUCCGCCCUAUAUUACAACUGCCGGCGGGUUCUCCCGUUCGGCUAUGGCGAUAAACGGACUGUGAAAUAAGCCAUUCGGACCCGGGGGCGGUACCCGGCGCCUCCACCAUCUUUCCCCUGAAAGCGUCAAAAGCCGGCGCGGCAGGGUUCCUGGGGGCGAAACAGGAUCGACGGGCAUGGUUCCGCCGUCAUCGGGCCGUUUUAUAGUUGCCAACGACAACUAUGCUGAGGCACGUCUCGCUGCGUAAGCGGUGCGACAACCUCGAUUGAAGCCCUUGCCCUUAGCCGGGUAAGGCGGGGUUCGGGGGCACCUGGCAACAGAAGCCCCCACU
This 350-nucleotide transfer-messenger RNA is filed under the name Alphaproteobacteria bacterium HGW-Alphaproteobacteria-3. It matches the Rfam family "Alphaproteobacteria transfer-messenger RNA". From Rfam's summary of the family: Bacterial tmRNA, also known as 10Sa RNA or SsrA, is named for its dual tRNA and mRNA-like properties. Its role is to liberate the mRNA from a stalled ribosome. The record is from RNAcentral. Lineage: Bacteria; Pseudomonadati; Pseudomonadota; Alphaproteobacteria.